UAACAAGGAUUCCCUCAGUAACGGCGAGUGAAGCGGGAAGAGCUCAAAUUUAAAAUCUGGUUUGCUUGCAAGCCCGAGUUGUAGUCUGAAGAAACGUUUUCCAUAAGCACUGAGGCAAAAGUCCCUUGGAACAGGCAUCAUAGAGGGUGAGAAUCCCGUCCAUGGUCUCAAGUUGGUUAUUUUGUGAUACGUUUUCAAAGAGUCAGGUUGUUUGGGAAUGCAGCCUAAAAUGGGUGGUAAAUUUCAUCUAAAGCUAAAUAUUGGCGAGAGACCGAUAGCGAACAAGUACCGUGAGGGAAAGAUGAAAAGAACUUUGAAAAGAGAGUUAAACAGUACGUGAAAUUGUUGAAAGGGAACCGUUUGAAGCCAGUCUUACUUGCCUGUGAUCAAUUUUUGCUUCGGCAUGAAUGCACUCUCGGGUAUGGUAGGCCAACGACAGUUUGGAAUGCGAGAAAAAAAUAGAGGAAAUGUGGCCUUCGGGUGUUAUAGUCCUUUGUAAAAUAUCGUGUUCUGGACUGAGGAUCGCAGCAAAAACGUGGGCAGGUGGAUUUCUGUGGUAACUGUCGAUUAGGACAACUCGUUGACCUAGUCUUCCUUAGCCUCACUAUUUACCUUGCUUCUAAUUUGCUUAGGUCGUUGGCAUAAUGGCUUUAAAUGA
RNAcentral lists this ribosomal RNA (658 nucleotides) under Umbelopsis ramanniana. RNAcentral describes it as "eukaryotic LSU rRNA". It matches the Rfam family "Eukaryotic large subunit ribosomal RNA", at positions 66 to 647 of the family's 3401-position model. Lineage: Eukaryota; Fungi; Mucoromycota; Umbelopsidomycetes; Umbelopsidales; Umbelopsidaceae. The record is from RNAcentral.